This 253-nucleotide ribosomal RNA is filed under the name uncultured bacterium. RNAcentral's name for it is "partial 16S ribosomal RNA". It matches the Rfam family "Bacterial small subunit ribosomal RNA", at positions 524 to 776 of the family's 1533-position model. The record is from RNAcentral.
UACAGAGGUCUCAAGCGUUGUUCGGAUUCAUUGGGCGUAAAGGGUGCGUAGGUGGCGGGGUAAGUCAGGUGUGAAAUCUCGGGGCUCAACCCCGAAACUGCACUUGAUACUGCCUUGCUCGAGUACUGGAGAGGAGAUUGGAAUUUACGGUGUAGCAGUGAAAUGCGUAGAGAUCGUAAGGAAGACCAGUGGCGAAGGCGGGUCUCUGGACAGUUCCUGACACUGAGGCACGAAGGCCAGGGGAGCAAACGGG